Molecule: ribosomal RNA, 572 nt
Filed under: Didymella glomerata
Lineage: Eukaryota; Fungi; Ascomycota; Dothideomycetes; Pleosporales; Didymellaceae
Description: eukaryotic LSU rRNA
Rfam family: Eukaryotic large subunit ribosomal RNA
Source: RNAcentral
GCAUAUCAAUAAGCGGAGGAAAAGAAACCAACAGGGAUUGCCCUAGUAACGGCGAGUGAAGCGGCAACAGCUCAAAUUUGAAAUCUGGCGUCUUCGGCGUCCGAGUUGUAAUUUGCAGAGGGCGCUUUGGCAUUGGCAGCGGUCCAAGUUCCUUGGAACAGGACGUCACAGAGGGUGAGAAUCCCGUACGUGGUCGCUAGCCUUUGCCGUGUAAAGCCCCUUCGACGAGUCGAGUUGUUUGGGAAUGCAGCUCUAAAUGGGAGGUAAAUUUCUUCUAAAGCUAAAUACUGGCCAGAGACCGAUAGCGCACAAGUAGAGUGAUCGAAAGAUGAAAAGCACUUUGGAAAGAGAGUUAAAAAGCACGUGAAAUUGUUGAAAGGGAAGCGCUUGCAGCCAGACUUGCCUGUAGUUGCUCAUCCGGGUUUUUACCCGGUGCACUCUUCUAUAGGCAGGCCAGCAUCAGUUUGGGCGGUUGGAUAAAGGUCUCUGUCAUGUACCUCUCUUCGGGGAGAACUUAUAGGGGAGACGACAUGCAACCAGCCUGGACUGAGGUCCGCGCAUCUGCUAGGAUG